UCCUCGCCGUUCGACGCGGCGCUGGCGGCGCUGCAGGGCCGGAUGGGCUACGCGUUCCGGUCCCCGGACCUGCUCCGCCGCGCGAUGACGCACGCCUCCUACUCGCGCGAGAACGGCCGGGCGCUGGCCGUGCUCGGCCUGGCCGCGGCGGAGUCGGCCGCCGCGCUGCGGGCCCUCGCCGCCGACCGCGACGCGCCGGCCUCCGCCGUCUCCCGCGCCGCGCGCGACGCCGCGGGGGAGCCCGCCUGCGCCGCGGCGGGCGCCCGCGCGGGCAUCCCGGGCGUCGUGCGCGUCGCCGGGUCCACCAAGGCCUCGGCCCCGCCCGUGGUCUGCGGCGCCCUCCGCGCGCUCCUCGGCGCCGUCGCCGUCGACAACGGCACCGCCGCCGCCGCCGCCGAGGUCUUCUGGCGCCUCCACGUCAUCACCGCCGCCGCCAUGUGA
RNAcentral lists this ribosomal RNA (441 nucleotides) under Triticum aestivum (bread wheat). RNAcentral describes it as "partial small subunit ribosomal RNA". The record is from RNAcentral. Lineage: Eukaryota; Viridiplantae; Streptophyta; Magnoliopsida; Poales; Poaceae.